UACGUAGGGCGCAAGCGUUAUCCGGAAUUAUUGGGCGUAAAGAGCUCGUAGGCGGUUUGUCGCGUCUGCCGUGAAAGUCCGGGGCUCAACUCCGGAUCUGCGGUGGGUACGGACAGACUAGAGUGAUGUAGGGGAGACUGGAAUUCCUGGUGUAGCGGUGAAAUGCGCAGAUAUCAGGAGGAACACCGAUGGCGAAGGCAGAUCUCUGGGCCGUAACUGACGCUGAGGAGCGAAAGCGUGGGGAGCGAACAGG
This 253-nucleotide ribosomal RNA is filed under the name uncultured bacterium. RNAcentral describes it as "partial 16S ribosomal RNA". It matches the Rfam family "Bacterial small subunit ribosomal RNA", at positions 524 to 776 of the family's 1533-position model. The record is from RNAcentral.